UAGGGAAUCUUCGGCAAUGGACGAAAGUCUGACCGAGCAACGCCGCGUGAGUGAAGAAGGUUUUCGGAUCGUAAAACUCUGUUGUUAGAGAAGAACAAGGACGUUAGUAACUGAACGUCCCCUGACGGUAUCUAACCAGAAAGCCACGGCUAACUACGUGCCAGCAGCCGCGGUAAUACGUAGGUGGCAAGCGUUGUCCGGAUUUAUUGGGCGUAAAGCGAGCGCAGGCGGUUUCUUAAGUCUGAUGUGAAAGCCCCCGGCUCAACCGGGGAGGGUCAUUGGAAACUGGGCGACUUGAGUGCAGAAGAGGGGAGUGGAAUUCCAUGUGUAGCGGUGAAAUGCGUAGAUAUAUGGAGGAACACCAGUGGCGAAGGCGGCUCUCUGGUCUGUAACUGCCGCUGAGGCUCGAAAGCGUGGGGAGCAAACAGG
Molecule: ribosomal RNA, 429 nt
Filed under: Gemmatimonadota bacterium
Lineage: Bacteria; Pseudomonadati; Gemmatimonadota
Description: Gemmatimonadetes bacterium partial 16S ribosomal RNA
Rfam family: Bacterial small subunit ribosomal RNA
Source: RNAcentral